This 253-nucleotide ribosomal RNA is filed under the name uncultured bacterium. RNAcentral's name for it is "partial 16S ribosomal RNA". It matches the Rfam family "Bacterial small subunit ribosomal RNA", at positions 524 to 776 of the family's 1533-position model. The record is from RNAcentral.
CACGUAGGGCGCAAGCGUUGUCCGGAAUUAUUGGGCGUAAAGAGCUCGUAGGCGGUCUGUUGCGUCCGCUGUGAAAACUCGGGGCUUAACCCCGAGCCUGCAGUGGAUACGGGCAGACUAGAGGUAGGUAGGGGAGAAUGGAAUUCCCGGUGUAGCGGUGAAAUGCGCAGAUAUCGGGAGGAACACCGGUGGCGAAGGCGGCGACCUGGGUAGAUACUGACGCUGAGGUGCGAAAGCGUGGGGAGCAAACAGG